This 274-nucleotide ribosomal RNA is filed under the name uncultured bacterium. Its description in RNAcentral is "partial 16S ribosomal RNA". It matches the Rfam family "Bacterial small subunit ribosomal RNA", at positions 523 to 796 of the family's 1533-position model. The record is from RNAcentral.
AUACGGAGGGUGCAAGCGUUACUCGGAAUCACUGGGCGUAAAGCGCGCGCAGGCGGGCUGAUAAGUUGGAUGUGAAAGCCUACGGCUCAACCGUAGAACUGCAUCCAAAACUGUCAGUCUAGAGUCUGGGAGGGGAAGAUGGAAUUAGUUGUGUAGGGGUAAAAUCCGUAGAGAUAACUAGGAAUACCAAAAGCGAAGGCGAUCUUCUGGAACAGUACCGACGCUGAGGCGCGAAAGCGUGGGGAGCAAACAGGAUUAGAAACCCUAGUAGUCC